Molecule: long non-coding RNA, 1227 nt
Organism: Hevea brasiliensis (rubber tree)
Lineage: Eukaryota; Viridiplantae; Streptophyta; Magnoliopsida; Malpighiales; Euphorbiaceae
Exons: 2
Source: RefSeq, a predicted model, not a curated record
AUGCUUCUAGGUCAUAUUGUACUACUCUCUUCCAAGUCAGUUUAGGUCUACCCCUUCUUUUCUUUCUAUCCUCUAACCUAAUGUGCUCUACUUGUCUAACUGAAGCCUCCGUAUGUCUACGCUUCACAUGACCAAACCAUCUCAAUCUCCCUUCUUUCAAUUUAUCCUCAAUUGGCAUCACUACUACCUUUUUUCUAAUACUCUCAUUACGGAUUUUAUCUAGUCUUGUAUAGCCACUCAUCGACCUUAAUAUUCUUAUCUCCGCAACUCUUAUCUUAGACACAUAUGACUCAUUCAGUGCCCAAUACUCACUACCAUAUAACAUGGCCGGUCGUAUGGCUGUACAGUAAAAUUCUCCUUUCAACUUAUUGAGAAUCUUGCGAUCACAUAAAACUCCCGUGGCACUUCUCCACUUCAACUAUCCGGCUUUAAUCCUAUGAUUAACAUCCUCCUCACAUCCCCCAUCUACUUGAAGGAUUAAGUCAAGAUAUUUAAAGGGAUUACUUUGGGGCAUUACCACUCCAUCCAAACUAACUCAUUCCCUAUCACCAGUUCGGCCUUCACUGAACUUGCAAUGCAUGUAUUUUGUCUUCGUUCUACUUAACUUAAAGCCCUUUGACUUUAGAGUACUUCUCUAAAGUUCUAGCUUUCUAUUAACUCCUUCUCGCGUCUCAUCUAUCAGAACUAUAUCAUCCACAAAUAUCAUGCACCAAGGGAUACUCUCUUGUAUAUGUUUCAUCAAUUCAUCUAAAACUAAUAUGAAAAGGUAAGAGCUUAUAGCUGAACCUUGGUGUAAUCUAACUGAGAUAGUAGAGGGCUUAAUAUUGUACCAACUAAUCUAUUAAGUUUUUUAUUGUAGGCCUUCAUAAGGACUGCAGGAAAGAUCCUUCAGAAUAUCCAGGAAGGCGUGUUCGAUGUAUCCAAUGAGUCUUCAGGUAUCAAGGUAGGAUAUGGACGCCCCCAGGGCUCAUCAGGAGCUAGAGAUGGAGCUGUUGCUGAGAGAGGAGGAUGUUGUAGCUAACUAAAACACAAAUAUAAUCUGUAUCGUAUUUGAUUAUUUUCCGCACUCCUGUGAACAUAUGUUUACAACUGUUGCAUGAAUUCUGGUUGACAUUUAAUGUAUAGAUCCAACAUUUGUUGUUCCUUGGACCACAUUGAAUUUAAUUGAUAGGGAUUCAAAUCUUUUGAGUGCUUGGAAGUUUCCUUAUUCAGCACUGUUGUACUUUU